This is a ribosomal RNA of Salpingoeca sp., 119 nucleotides long. Lineage: Eukaryota; Choanoflagellata; Craspedida; Salpingoecidae. The record is from Rfam.
GGCAACGUUCAUACCAACGGGAUCACGCCCGCUCUCGUCCGAUCGCGGAAGCUAAGCCCGUUUGGGCCCGUUCAGUACUGCCGUGGGUGACCAGGCGGGAAUCACGGGUGAUGUUGCUC